Molecule: ribosomal RNA, 492 nt
Filed under: uncultured bacterium
Lineage: Bacteria
Description: partial 16S ribosomal RNA
Rfam family: Bacterial small subunit ribosomal RNA
Source: RNAcentral
AGUGAACGCUGGCGGUAGGCCUAACACAUGCAAGUCGAACGGCAGCACAGUAAGAGCUUGCUAUUACGGGUGGCGAGUGGCGGACGGGUGAGGAAUACAUCGGAAUCUACUUUUUCGUGGGGGAUAACGUAGGGAAACUUACGCUAAUACCUCAUACGACCUACGGGUGAAAUCAGGGUAUCUUCGGACCUUGCGCGAUUGAAUGAGCCGAUGUCGGAUUAGCUAGUUGGCGGGGUAAAGGCCCACCAAGGCGACGAACCGUAGCUGGUCUGCGAGGAUGAUCAGCCAAACUGGACUGGGGACCGGGUCCAACCCCCUAGGGGAGCAAGCGGUGGGGAAUAUUGGACAAUGGGGGAAAGCCUGAUCCAGCCAGACCGCGUGGGUGAAGAAGGCUUUCGGGUUGUAAAGCCCUUUUGUUGGGAAAGAAAAGCAGCAGGUUAAUACCCCGCUGUUCUGACGGUACCCAAAGAAUAAGCACCGGCUAACUUCGUG